GGCUGGCCGCUUCAAUAAAAGUUGCUACCACCACUGGGUUGCCCUUGAGUUCCUUCCGGGGCAAAGCUAAGAACCCUCCCGGGCUAUGCCUCAAUCUUAGAGCUCGCCUGUCCUGCGGCACUGGGAUCAUCUCCCAGUAAACUAGCCACACUUACACCCAUGUCUCAGGGCCAUUUCUGGAGAAACCAGCCCAGGACACUGUUGAAUAAAACACACAAGAGUCUCUGCGGUCUUCUCCACCCCACCCCACACCGGGCACUGUCAGCUUGAUUCUCCUUUUUAAUUGCCUGUAAGCAGGGUAGCAUAAUGUUUUCACAUCCUUUGUAAGGCCUUUGUUCUACUAAAAUCUAACCUCAGAGCACAAUUUUAAACUAGAUGAGAGAGGAGCUGCACCUGAAGCACUGCAAACCUUCCCCACCAUACGUGUGCACUCACCCUGGACACCCUCACUCUCCCUGACACCCUCACUCCUCACCCUGACACCCUCACUCACCCUGACACCCUCACUCCUCACCCUGACACCCUCACUCCUCACCCUGGACACCCUCACUCACCGCUGACACCCUCACUCACCCUGACACCCUCACUCACCCUGACACCCUCACUCCUCACCCUGACACCCUCACUCACCCUGACACCCUCACUCAUGCUGACACCCUCACUCACCCUGACACCCUCACUCACCCUGACACCCUCACUCCUCACCCUGGACACCCUCACUCACCCUGACACCCUCACUCUCCCUGACACCCUCACCCUGACACCCUCACUCCUCACCCUGGACACCCUCACUCCUCACCCUGGACACCCUCACUCCUCACCCUGGACACCCUCACUCCUCACCCUGA
RNA transcript from Nomascus leucogenys (northern white-cheeked gibbon), 848 nucleotides. It is a transcript of the gene named placenta-specific protein 4-like, with no coding region annotated. The transcript is spliced from 5 exons. The record is from RefSeq and is a predicted model, not a curated record. NCBI's taxonomy places the organism in Eukaryota, Metazoa, Chordata, Mammalia, Primates, Hylobatidae.